Molecule: ribosomal RNA, 1461 nt
Filed under: Bacillus toyonensis
Lineage: Bacteria; Bacillati; Bacillota; Bacilli; Caryophanales; Bacillaceae
Also listed under: 1 other name
Description: 23S ribosomal RNA
Rfam family: Bacterial large subunit ribosomal RNA
Source: RNAcentral
UUGAGCAAUGGAGGGACGCAGAAGGAUAGAAGAAGCGUGCGAUUGGUUGUGCACGUCCAAGCAGUUAGGCUGAUAAGUAGGCAAAUCCGCUUAUCGUGAAGGCUGAGCUGUGAUGGGGAAGCUCCUUAUGGAGCGAAGUCUUUGAUUCCCCGCUGCCAAGAAAAGCUUCUAGCGAGAUAAAAGGUGCCUGUACCGCAAACCGACACAGGUAGGCGAGGAGAGAAUCCUAAGGUGUGCGAGAGAACUCUGGUUAAGGAACUCGGCAAAAUGACCCCGUAACUUCGGGAGAAGGGGUGCUUUCUUAACGGAAAGCCGCAGUGAAUAGGCCCAAGCGACUGUUUAGCAAAAACACAGGUCUCUGCGAAGCCGUAAGGCGAAGUAUAGGGGCUGACACCUGCCCGGUGCUGGAAGGUUAAGGAGAGGGGUUAGCGUAAGCGAAGCUCUGAACUGAAGCCCCAGUAAACGGCGGCCGUAACUAUAACGGUCCUAAGGUAGCGAAAUUCCUUGUCGGGUAAGUUCCGACCCGCACGAAAGGUGUAACGAUUUGGGCACUGUCUCAACCAGAGACUCGGUGAAAUUAUAGUACCUGUGAAGAUGCAGGUUACCCGCGACAGGACGGAAAGACCCCGUGGAGCUUUACUGUAGCCUGAUAUUGAAUUUUGGUACAGUUUGUACAGGAUAGGCGGGAGCCAUUGAAACCGGAGCGCUAGCUUCGGUGGAGGCGCUGGUGGGAUACCGCCCUGACUGUAUUGAAAUUCUAACCUACGGGUCUUAUCGACCCGGGAGACAGUGUCAGGUGGGCAGUUUGACUGGGGCGGUCGCCUCCUAAAGUGUAACGGAGGCGCCCAAAGGUUCCCUCAGAAUGGUUGGAAAUCAUUCGUAGAGUGCAAAGGCAUAAGGGAGCUUGACUGCGAGACCUACAAGUCGAGCAGGGACGAAAGUCGGGCUUAGUGAUCCGGUGGUUCCGCAUGGAAGGGCCAUCGCUCAACGGAUAAAAGCUACCCCGGGGAUAACAGGCUUAUCUCCCCCAAGAGUCCACAUCGACGGGGAGGUUUGGCACCUCGAUGUCGGCUCAUCGCAUCCUGGGGCUGUAGUCGGUCCCAAGGGUUGGGCUGUUCGCCCAUUAAAGCGGUACGCGAGCUGGGUUCAGAACGUCGUGAGACAGUUCGGUCCCUAUCCGUCGUGGGCGUAGGAAAUUUGAGAGGAGCUGUCCUUAGUACGAGAGGACCGGGAUGGACGCACCGCUGGUGUACCAGUUGUUCUGCCAAGGGCAUAGCUGGGUAGCUAUGUGCGGAAGGGAUAAGUGCUGAAAGCAUCUAAGCAUGAAGCCCCCCUCAAGAUGAGAUUUCCCAUAGCGUAAGCUAGUAAGAUCCCUGAAAGAUGAUCAGGUUGAUAGGUUCGAGGUGGAAGCAUGGUGACAUGUGGAGCUGACGAAUACUAAUAGAUCGAGGACUUAACCAU